This is a non-coding RNA of Pestalotiopsis sp. 9143b, 73 nucleotides long. The record is from the annotation of a GenBank genome assembly. Lineage: Eukaryota; Fungi; Ascomycota; Sordariomycetes; Amphisphaeriales; Sporocadaceae.
GCUCGGAUAACUCAAUUGGUAGAGUGAACCAUUGAAGCUGGUUUUGUUGUAAGUUCAAGUCUCACUCCGGGCA